Long non-coding RNA from Peromyscus leucopus (white-footed mouse), 860 nucleotides. RefSeq lists it as uncharacterized. The record is from RefSeq and is a predicted model, not a curated record. NCBI's taxonomy places the organism in Eukaryota, Metazoa, Chordata, Mammalia, Rodentia, Cricetidae. The transcript is spliced from 3 exons.
GCAAUUUUAGGCCUGGAUACCUGCCGGAGUCUCUCUAGCCCUGUGGGCCAGAACUAGGGUCCAGGUUCUCCUCCGUAAGCUCCCAGGGGUCUCAGGGAGGCAGCCCGGCAGUAGAAGCAUCCAGGGGACUGAGUCAGGGAUGCUGCUGGAGACGGUGUUAAGGAUGCCUGGGUUCUGGGAGUUUCUGGAGUGAGCGAGUCUGGAGUGUGGGUGUGGGGGUGCCUGGCUGUCUAUGAGAAACCAACAGCUGGCUUGGACAGCUAUUAUUUGCUGGCCUGUUACGGAUCAGGGCUGGAUGCUGGAGUGGACUAGAUAGAUGAAUCUCCCCGGUUAAGGAGGGCCCAUAAAAGCAAGGAGUGCAGGGUGGGAACAGGAGCCCAACAGGUCGAUAAGUCAGCAUUUCAGAGCGUGAGUGGUUAUUCUCAUUGUCAUAGGAACAUCGGAUAAAAGUGGUUCACAGAGGGAAACCUAGAUAGCACCCCAACAGUUUGGCUGGAUGGUCCUUAAGGAUUCUGGGCAAGUUGCCAAGCCCUGGCAGAGGAGAGGAGCUGUCUGCAACUGAACGAACCUAAAAUAACCAGAUUCCAAUCCUAAUGAAAGGUAUCUUCGGAGUAAGACUGGAAGGAAGUGAGCCAUGGAAAUUUCCAGUGGAAGAGCAUUCCACAGAGUGCAGGACACAGGUCACAGGUCAGAGAUUAAGGUGGAGAGGCCCCACCAAGGACGGCUUGUGAGUCAAGGCAUAACUGUUUUGCCUGCCUGAAUGAGUGCCUGGUCCCCAAAGAGAGCAGAGUUGCAGAUGGUUGUGAGCCUCUGUGUGGGUGCUGGAAAUUGAACCCUGGCCCUCUGCAAGAUAAGCAAGU